UACGGAGGGGGCUAGCGUUGUUCGGAAUUACUGGGCGUAAAGCGCACGUAGGCGGCUUUGUAAGUUAGAGGUGAAAGCCCAGGGCUUAACCCUGGAAUUGCCUUUAAGACUGCAUCGCUAGAAUCGUGGAGAGGUAAGUGGAAUUCCGAGUGUAGAGGUGAAAUUCGUAGAUAUUCGGAAGAACACCAGUGGCGAAGGCGACUUACUGGACACGUAUUGACGCUGAGGUGCGCAAGCGUGGGGAGCAAACAGG
This 253-nucleotide ribosomal RNA is filed under the name uncultured bacterium. RNAcentral describes it as "partial 16S ribosomal RNA". It matches the Rfam family "Bacterial small subunit ribosomal RNA", at positions 524 to 776 of the family's 1533-position model. The record is from RNAcentral.